UACGGGGGGAGCAAGCGUUGUUCGGAUUUACUGGGCGUAAAGGGCGCGUAGGCGGUCAGCACAAGUCAGUUGUGAAAUCUCCGAGCUUAACUCGGAAAGGUCAACUGAUACUGUGCGACUAGAGUGCAGAAGGGGCAACUGGAAUUCUUGGUGGAGCGGUGAAAUGCGUUGAUAUCAUCAGGAACACCGGUGGCGAAAGCGGCUCACUGGGUAUCUUCUGACGCUGAGGGACGAAAGCUAGGGGAGCGAACGGG
This 254-nucleotide ribosomal RNA is filed under the name uncultured bacterium. Its description in RNAcentral is "partial 16S ribosomal RNA". It matches the Rfam family "Bacterial small subunit ribosomal RNA", at positions 524 to 776 of the family's 1533-position model. The record is from RNAcentral.